CCCUUAGUUAUCCUAGGUCGCACGCGCCAUACAAUGUGGCGCACAACGAGUCUCCUUGGCCGACAGGAUGUCCCGCGAGCGAUCGGCGACGCAGCCAGCUCGGUCUUCGGGCAGACUCGGUGAGAGUGGCCCGUCCUCCUGAGAGGGCGAUCGUCGAUGCCUCGGGAUUCUGGGCAAUCUGGCAGAGCGCUACGUGACUGGGCUAGACUUUUGUAAUUUUUGGUCUUGAACGAGGAAUGCCUAGUAAUCGCAGGUCAGCAUCCUGCGAUGAUUCGGUCCCUGCCCUUUGGACACACCGCCCGUCGCUCCAUCCGUGGCAUGCGCCGGUGAAGAGGGGGAGGCAGCGUCGGCCGUGUAACAGCGGAUCGUACGUGGAACCCCUCUGAACCUUCGCACGUAGAGGAAGGAGAAGUCGUAACA
This 420-nucleotide ribosomal RNA is filed under the name uncultured eukaryote. Its description in RNAcentral is "partial 18S ribosomal RNA". It matches the Rfam family "Eukaryotic small subunit ribosomal RNA", at positions 1470 to 1796 of the family's 1831-position model. The record is from RNAcentral.